CGGCCCGCGUUAGAUUAGCUUGUUGGUAGGGUAAUGGCCUACCAAGGCGACGAUCUAUAGCUGGUCUGAGAGGAUGAUCAGCCACACUGGGACUGAGACACGGCCCAGACUCCUACGGGAGGCAGCAGUGGGGAAUCUUGCACAAUGGGCGAAAGCCUGAUGCAGCCAUGCCGCGUGAAUGAUGAAGGCCUUAGGGUUGUAAAAUUCUUUCGCUAGGGAUGAUAAUGACAGUACCUAGUAAAGAAGCCCCGGCUAACUUCGUGCCAGCAGCCGCGGUAAUACGAAGGGGGCUAGCGUUGUUCGGAAUUACUGGGCGUAAAGCGCACGUAGGCGGACUUUUAAGUCAGAUGUGAAAUCCCAGGGCUCAACUCUGGAACUGCAUUUGAAACUGGAAGUCUAGAGACCAGGAGAGGUUAGCGGAAUACCGAGUGUAGAGGUGAAAUUCGUAGAUAUUCGGUGGAACACCAGUGGCGAAGGCGG
This 480-nucleotide ribosomal RNA is filed under the name uncultured bacterium. RNAcentral's name for it is "bacterial SSU rRNA". It matches the Rfam family "Bacterial small subunit ribosomal RNA", at positions 227 to 724 of the family's 1533-position model. The record is from RNAcentral.